AAAACUAACUAAUCACACUGUAAACAUGGCUUAGAGAAAGCUAACAGUGUUGGUGGUUACUCCUGUGUCCAUGGUGCUCAUCAUCACUUUUUGCGGCGUUAAUUUUAAUGAAUAUGUGUUCCAUUAUCCAUGAUGAAAAUUUCCCAAACAACAGUCCUUAAUGUUAUUAAUAUUAUUAUAUGGUCGCAACAAUACAUACUAGUUUACAGUAAAAGCAGAGAUGCAUUAUUUUAAAUAGUAACAAUUGUUUCAUUGAAGUCAGCGACAUUUUCAAAAUGUUACAUUUAAGUGAGUAAUGAAAUAAAAAUAUCGUAUGUAAAGCAGAGGUAAUUUCCAUAAUAACAAUCAUUAGACUCUUCUAUUACUCUCCAGUUUGACCAACAUUAAUGCUUCAUGUGUUUGAUUCUAUGCAAACUCAGUGAUCCUCCUUGUUUCUCAGAUAUAAAAACUUCACAUCAGACUGUCAGUGGAGAUCACAGCACAUCAGUUUCACCAUAAACCAUGUUCUCUGUAGCUCUGCUGCUGCUGUUGGCAGCUGGAUCCUGUGUGAAGUGUGAACAGUUGACACAGCCAGCCUCAGUGACUGUGCAGCCAGGUCAACGUCUGACCAUCACCUGUCAGGUCUCUUAUUCUGUUAGCAGCUAUUACACAGCUUGGAUCAGACAGCCUGCAGGGAAAGGACUGGAGUGGAUUGGAAGUGCACGUGUUGGAUACACCACAGACUACAAAGAUUCACUAAAGAACAAGUUCAGUAUCGACUUAGACUCUUCCAGCAACAGAGUGACUCUAAACGGACAGAGUGUGCAGCCUGAAGACACUGCUGUGUAUUACUGUGCCAGAGACCCACAAUAA
Non-coding RNA from Thunnus maccoyii (southern bluefin tuna), 852 nucleotides. The record is from the annotation of a RefSeq genome assembly. NCBI's taxonomy places the organism in Eukaryota, Metazoa, Chordata, Actinopteri, Scombriformes, Scombridae.